AGGAUGAACGCUGGCGGCGUGCCUAAUACAUGCAAGUCGAGCGGUAAGGCCCCUUCGGGGGUACACGAGCGGCGGACGGCUGAGUAACACGUAGGAACGUACCCCAAAGUGAGGCAUAAGCACCAGAAAAUGGUGUCUAAUACCGCAUGUGGUCUUCGGAUUAAAGCUUCGGCGCUUUGGGAACGGCCUGCGCAUGAUUAGCUUGUUGGUGAGGUAAUGGCUCACCAAGGCGACGAUCAUUAGCUGGUCUGAGAGGAUGAUCAGCCAGACUGGGACUGAGAACGGCCCAGACUCCUACGGAGGCAGCAGUAGGAAUUUUCCACAAUGGGCGAAA
This 334-nucleotide ribosomal RNA is filed under the name uncultured bacterium. RNAcentral's name for it is "SSU rRNA". It matches the Rfam family "Bacterial small subunit ribosomal RNA", at positions 26 to 380 of the family's 1533-position model. The record is from RNAcentral.